ACUAAAGCUUACUGGAAAUCAUUUAAAAGGGUCGCGACCUAUCUUGACUUUUUCUGCUAAUUUUGAUAAAGAUGCCCACUGGAAACUCUUGAAGGAAAUGUUAAUGCAGAUAUUUGGCACGCCAAAGGAGCACCGGAAAUCUAAGCCUUAUCAUGACCAUGUCUUUGUUUUCUCUAUUGUUGAUGAUCAUAUCUGGUUCCGUAAUUACCAGAUAUCUGUUCCUCAUAAUGAAUCAGAUAAAGUGGCUCCAGGAGG
This 255-nucleotide unclassified non-coding RNA is filed under the name Hevea brasiliensis (rubber tree). Lineage: Eukaryota; Viridiplantae; Streptophyta; Magnoliopsida; Malpighiales; Euphorbiaceae. The record is from RNAcentral.